Molecule: long non-coding RNA, 2662 nt
Organism: Neofelis nebulosa (Clouded leopard)
Lineage: Eukaryota; Metazoa; Chordata; Mammalia; Carnivora; Felidae
Exons: 2
Source: RefSeq, a predicted model, not a curated record
UGGUGAUGGUGAGGGGUUGGGAUUGGGAAGCUGUCUUGGGAAAAAAGAAUAAUAACCUGGGAAGGCAGUGGUUUUCAAAGGGUGAUCUAUAGACCACUCUCAUCCAAAUCUUCUGGGAUCCUUGUUAAAAAUGUUGUUUCUGGGUGUGGAGCAUAGGUGGCCCAGUUGGUUUAAGUGACCAAUUCUUGAUUUCAGCUCAGGUCAUGAUCUGAGGGUUCGGGGGUUUGAGCCCUGCAUUGGGCUCUGUGCUGACGGCGCAGAGCCCGAUUGGGAUUCUCUGUCUCCCAAAAUAAAUUAACAUUUAAAAACAAAACAAAAAAGUUUCUUACUUACCCUGGCCCAGGAGAUACCAUGGUCAUGAAAGUGGUUUUCCCAGGGCAAGGUUUAUCCAUUGCACUCCGGGUGUGCCAAUCCCUGCGAUGUCCCUGAAUGUGGGAAGCCCGGCUGCAUAAUUUGUGGCAGUGGGGAACUGCUUUUGUGUUCCCCGCUGGAGGUAGGAACUUAAUCCAGGAUUAAGCUGGAACUUAAUCCUGUUAAGUUGCAGGAUUCUGCUCCAGACCUAUCAAAUGUCUCUAGUUUAGAGCCCAAGAAUAUGCAUUAUUGACCCUAUUUCUCUUGGAUUCGGGCAUCCUAACACGCGAUUUCUCGGUUAAUCAUAUUUUGAAAAUGCUCCCACAUUCAGAUAAGAACAAGUGAGCAAGUAACUGCCUUCUGGGUUCUUGUCAGAGAAUAUAAUCUUGAACACAUAGCCCAGUUGUCUUUCAUUUUUAGUGGGCAAUUAACAUAUUUACUCAAAUAAAAACAAACAUGAGUACAUGAUAAAGAUUUCGAUGUUUAAAAGUAUAAAAUUGGAAAGGAAAAAUACAUAUGCUUCCUAACCCUGAAACCGUGAUUAACAGUUUCUUACAUAUUUCUUGAAAAAAAAAAAUGCAUUGUUCUUGCUGCUCAAUAACUCAUGGAGGAUUUAAGUCCAUUCACUUUGAGAUACUGUAAAUUUUAUUCUCGGAUUCACUCACUUGACACAUAUUUGACUCUUACGGCAUUCCAGACACUGCUUAAUUUGUGGAAUGAAUACAGCCAGACAGAUACUCAUUAAGGUCGCAGAUAUUCUAGUCUAUUCUAUAAGCCCAACAAAUGUUUGACUCUACCUAGGCCACACUGAAUCCUAAAUUGCCCCCCCCCCACCUGAUUUGGAAUGCCCUUAGGUAAGAGGAAGCACCUGUCUCCAGUCUCAUGGCUCCCUAUCGUCACACCUGGAUGCCCCUGAGGGCAUCUGAUUUUGUGAUCCCAGGAUUAAGUCACCUCUGAGGGGUGUCUGCCAGGAGCAUAUUUUGUCCACCUUCAGGAUGACUUUUACUGAACUGCGAUUUGAUAUGAAACUGACUCUGCUGUGAAAACCAGUACCGGGAACUUUCAGUAGGUCUCAGGACAAGAGAAUUCUGUGUCUGUCCCAAGCAACUGUUUAUCUUAGGGGAGACUGUGUAUCUUCUGAGAAGCUCCCUUUGCUUUAGCUGCUAGGAAGUACAACCAGAUGUGUAGCCCACUUUGAUAGCAGCAGAGGAAUUACUAGCAUAAAUUUUGGGUGCAGCUCUGGCUUCAUCUUCUCUCCCCUGUAUUUUGCCCUUGAAUUUCCUCAUUUACUUUUAUCUUUUUAUGACAUCUCUGCAAGCCAUUUUAUACUCUUUUCUUAAAAAAUGAGUCAGGAUACAAGUAAGUAAAUCACAACAGGAAAUGAACUGAUGUAUUAAUUAUGAUGGCAAAGACUUCAGGUGUUUCUGCUAACGUUGCCUGAUUGACAUGCAGAAUUGUUUGCGUUCUAAGCACUUUUUGCAGAACUCUUUGACAGUUCCUGACAUUACUGUGUUAGAAGUCAUGUGUGUACCCGUCUUCCUUAAAAGCUUCUAGCAUAGCCUUUGACUUGCAGUUGAUGCUCACUGUUGGUUGAGUUGAAAUAGUUGGCUCCUUUAUCUUCUAUGGACUCAGCUGCUGAAAAGUUUUGACAUGAUUUCCAAACUAUAAUUUAGUAGUAAUAAUUGAAGGAAUCUUUUCAGUGCUGGCUCAAACAGGUUGAUGUACAUUUAUUUUCAAGAGAACAGAAGACAAUUUGAAGAUACAGUGGAAUAAUCUGGUCUUCCUGCUAUUUAGUUUCGCCUAAGAAGAAAUCGCUUAGUAGAUUAUUUGUGAAAUCAUACUGUAGACUUAAUCACAGAAACUGUAGUCAAAGUAGAUAAGGUUAACCCUGUUUCCGUAUGUACUCUCAAAUACAGUUGUUUAUUUUAAAACACAGUAUUGGUGAUGUAGUGGAGAAAUAAAUACCCAUUUUCACACAUAGUUGGCCAGAAUAAAAAGUGGUAAAAACUUUUAUGGAAGGGAAUUUGACAGGAUUUCUUAACACCUAGACUAUAUAUACCAGCGAUUCCAUUUUUAGGAAUUUAUCCUCCAGGUAUACUUAGGUUUAUGUUUAAAAGUAGGUACUGGUGGGGUGCCUGGGUGGCUCAGUCAGUUAAGCGUCUGACUUUAGCUCAGGUCAUGAUCUCACCGUUCGUGAGUUCGAGCCUCACAUCAGGCUCUGAGCCUGGAGGCUGCUUCAGAUUCUGUGUCUCCCUCUCUCUCCUCCCCUCCCCUGCUCAUGCUGUCUCUCUCUCUCAAAAAUAAACAUUAA